RNAcentral lists this ribosomal RNA (949 nucleotides) under Chryseobacterium rhizoplanae. RNAcentral describes it as "bacterial SSU rRNA". It matches the Rfam family "Bacterial small subunit ribosomal RNA", at positions 34 to 990 of the family's 1533-position model. The record is from RNAcentral. Lineage: Bacteria; Pseudomonadati; Bacteroidota; Flavobacteriia; Flavobacteriales; Weeksellaceae.
CGACUGCGGGAGCUACCAUGCAAGCCGAGCGGUAGAGAUCUUUCGGGAUCUUGAGAGCGGCGUACGGGUGCGGAACACGUGUGCAACCUGCCUUUAUCUGGGGGAUAGCCUUUCGAAAGGGAGAUUAAUACCCCAUAAUAUAUUUAUCGGCAUCGAUAGAUAUUGAAAACUCCGGUGGAUAGAGAUGGGCACGCGCAAGAUUAGAUAGUUGGUGAGGUAACGGCUCACCAAGUCUACGAUCUUUAGGGGGCCUGAGAGGGUGAUCCCCCACACUGGUACUGAGACACGGACCAGACUCCUACGGGAGGCAGCAGUGAGGAAUAUUGGACAAUGGGUGAGAGCCUGAUCCAGCCAUCCCGCGUGAAGGACGACGGCCCUAUGGGUUGUAAACUUCUUUUGUAUAGGGAUAAACCUACUCUCGUGAGAGUAGCUGAAGGUACUAUACGAAUAAGCACCGGCUAACUCCGUGCCAGCAGCCGCGGUAAUACGGAGGGUGCAAGCGUUAUCCGGAUUUAUUGGGUUUAAAGGGUCCGUAGGCGGAUCUGUAAGUCAGUGGUGAAAUCUCACAGCUUAACUGUGAAACUGCCAUUGAUACUGCAGGUCUUGAGUGUUAUUGAAGUAGCUGGAAUAAGUAGUGUAGCGGUGAAAUGCAUAGAUAUUACUUAGAACACCAAUUGCGAAGGCAGGUUACUAAGCAACAACUGACGCUGAUGGACGAAAGCGUGGGGAGCGAACAGGAUUAGAUACCCUGGUAGUCCACGCCGUAAACGAUGCUAACUCGUUUUUGGGGCUUCGGCUUCAGAGACUAAGCGAAAGUGAUAAGUUAGCCACCUGGGGAGUACGUUCGCAAGAAUGAAACUCAAAGGAAUUGACGGGGGCCCGCACAAGCGGUGGAUUAUGUGGUUUAAUUCGAUGAUACGCGAGGAACCUUACCAAGGCUUAAAUGGGA